GCUCGCCCGAGCCCGAUUCUAUUUCCUCUCCUUCCCCGACUCUCUUCCCCGACCUUUUCCUUCUCUGUUUUCUCUCUCGUGGACAAGCGGCGCCGGAGGGAUUAGGGUUUCCAGCUCCGGCGAUUUCCUCUGCCGGCAUCGGCGGCUGUUGAGCUCAGAUCCGUGCGGCUCUAUUCCUCUCCGGAUCAGAGACACGACGUCGCGUCUUCUCUAGCAGACUGCCGACCUUCCUUCCCCGAUUCGACGCCACUGGGUCGAGUCUUUGCCAUCCGAUCGCCGGUGUGAAGAGAACAUUAGGGUCUUGAGGUGGUCAGCGAUCCUAGGUCAGGUCAUGGAUCGCUUGAUUGGAUCUUGGAUUCCUCUGCCGGAGCUAGGUCUUGGCAGACGAUGGCUAGUUGAGGGUCAGUAGAUUCAAUACAUUGCAUUAUGGAUUGGAUUAGGUGACACCUUCUGGAGGCAACCGAUCGAGUACUUGGACUUUCUCUUCUUCACUGUGAUUGAGGUCUCGGUUGAAGUGGAGAAGAAUUCCAGCAGGGAGGUCUUGUUGUGGUGUUCUUGAUCUAGUAGCUCAGUUUGGUUCCGGCAGCAUCUAUCCAGAUUGAGGUGUUGUUGAUGCUGGAAUUGUGGUCGUAAGGUGAGUUUCAACAGCAUCACCUGUGGCUUUAGAUCGUGAGGUGAUUCCUAACAGCAUCCUUUGAUCCAGCAGUUAAUAGGAUCUGUGAAUUGAGGACUCUGAUUCGAGACGAGCAUCUCGACAUUGGAUUAGGACUGGAUUGUACCUUCUAUUUG
This is a long non-coding RNA of Zingiber officinale, 789 nucleotides long. RefSeq lists it as uncharacterized. Lineage: Eukaryota; Viridiplantae; Streptophyta; Magnoliopsida; Zingiberales; Zingiberaceae. The record is from RefSeq and is a predicted model, not a curated record. The transcript has 5 exons.